UGUUAAAUUUUUAUUUCUGUACAUUCAUUCAUGCUUUAGUAAGUCGCUGAUGAGUACCUGCUGUACCAAGACACUCAUCUGUAUAGAGAUAAGGAACAGUGAGUUAAACAGAUGUUGAAUAACUUGCCCAUUGCUUGGAAGUGGUGAAUGGCAUUUAAAUCCAGGAAGUCUGGCUCCAGAGCCCUCUUGGUUAACCACCCCAUUAUAAAUAGGCUUACAAAAAACUUCCAACUUUAGUCCCCACCAAUAUUCAUGAGGCUUUAUUGGAUAUCUGUUACCUGUGUAUUUUUACACCUUUCAAUAG
Molecule: long non-coding RNA, 304 nt
Organism: Myotis myotis
Lineage: Eukaryota; Metazoa; Chordata; Mammalia; Chiroptera; Vespertilionidae
Exons: 3
Source: RefSeq, a predicted model, not a curated record